UGGGGAAUCUUGCGCAAUGGGCGAAAGCCUGACGCAGCGACGCCGCGUGGGGGAAGAAGGCCUUCGGGUUGUAAACCUCUUUCAGUAGGGACGAAGCUACUCGGGUGAAUAGCCCAGAGGGUGACGGUACCUACAGAAGAAGCCCCGGCUAACUACGUGCCAGCAGCCGCGGUAAUACGUAGGGGGCAAGCGUUGUCCGGAUUUAUUGGGCGUAAAGAGCGUGUAGGCGGCUAGGGUAGGGUCCGCUGUUAAAAACUCGAGGCUUAACCUCGAGAGGUCGGUGGAAACCAUCUAGCUAGAGUCCGGAAGAGGAGAGUGGAAUUCCCGGUGUAGCGGUGAAAUGCGCAGAUAUCGGGAAGAACACCCGUGGCGAAGGCGGCUCUCUGGGACGGUACUGACGCUGAGACGCGAAAGCGUGGGGAGCGAACAGGAUUAGAUACCCUGGUAGUCCACGCCGUAAACGAUGGGUGCUAGGUGUGGGCGGUGUCGACUCCGUCCGUGCCGAAGCUAACGCAUUAAGCACCCCGCCUGGGGAGUACGGCCGCAA
This 547-nucleotide ribosomal RNA is filed under the name uncultured bacterium. Its description in RNAcentral is "bacterial SSU rRNA". It matches the Rfam family "Bacterial small subunit ribosomal RNA", at positions 355 to 891 of the family's 1533-position model. The record is from RNAcentral.